CUCUUCUUGUAAAAGUUAUUUGAAGUAUAACCUGCCCACUGAUAUAAAGUUUUGAAGGGCCGCGGUAUUUUGACCGUGCAAAGGUAGCAUAAUCAUUAGUCUUUUAAUUGAGGACUAGAAUGAAUGGUUGGACGAGGAAUACACUGUUUCUUAUUAAAAAGUUGAAUUUAAAUUUUAAGUUAAAAUGCUUAAAUUUUUUUAUGGGACGAGAAGACCCUAUAGAGUUUAAUAAAUAUUAAUAUUUUGUUUGUUUGAAUUAUCUAGUUGAUUAAUUUUUAUAUUUAUUUUGUUGGGGUGAUAGGAAUGAAUUGAUAAACUCUUCCUUUUAUUUAUAUAUUUAUUUAUAAUUUUGUGAUCCAUUUUUGUUGAUUAUAAGACUAAAUUACCUUAGGGAUAACAGCGUAA
Molecule: ribosomal RNA, 405 nt
Filed under: Pellucidonicus sp. C20
Lineage: Eukaryota; Metazoa; Arthropoda; Insecta; Blattodea; Blattidae
Description: partial large subunit ribosomal RNA
Rfam family: Archaeal large subunit ribosomal RNA (bases 1-192)
Source: RNAcentral